This 506-nucleotide ribosomal RNA is filed under the name uncultured bacterium. Its description in RNAcentral is "partial 16S ribosomal RNA". It matches the Rfam family "Bacterial small subunit ribosomal RNA", at positions 28 to 523 of the family's 1533-position model. The record is from RNAcentral.
GAUGAACGCUAGCUACAGGCUUAACACAUGCAAGUCGAGGGGUAACAAGAGAAAAGCUUGCUUUUCUUGUUGACGACCGGCGCACGGGUGAGUAACGCGUAUCCAACCUGCCUAUAACUAGGGAAUAACCUUGCGAAAGUAAGACUAAUACCCUAUGAUUUCCUUUGAUGACAUCAGAUUAGGAAUAAAGAUUUAUCGGUUAUAGAUGGGGAUGCGUCUGAUUAGCUUGUUGGCGGGGUAACGGCCCACCAAGGCAACGAUCAGUAGGGGUUCUGAGAGGAAGGUCCCCCACAUUGGAACUGAGACACGGUCCAAACUCCUAGGGGAGGCAGCAGUGAGGAAUAUUGGUAAAUGGGCGGAAGCCUAAACCAGCCAAGUAGCGUGCAGGAUGACGGCCCUAUGGGUUGUAAACUGCUUUUAUACAGGAAUAAAGUUAGCCACGUGUGGUUAUUUGUAGGUACUGUAUGAAUAAGGACCGGCUAAUUCCGUGCCAGCCGCCGCGGUAA